RNAcentral lists this ribosomal RNA (506 nucleotides) under uncultured bacterium. RNAcentral's name for it is "partial 16S ribosomal RNA". It matches the Rfam family "Bacterial small subunit ribosomal RNA", at positions 29 to 523 of the family's 1533-position model. The record is from RNAcentral.
AGUGAACGCUGGCGGUAGGCCUAACACAUGCAAGUCGAACGGCAGCACAGGAGAGCUUGCUCUCUGGGUGGCGAGUGGCGGACGGGUGAGGAAUACAUCGGAAUCUACUCUGUCGUGGGGGAUAACGUAGGGAAACUUACGCUAAUACCGCAUACGACCUACGGGUGAAAGCAGGGGAUCUUCGGACCUUGCGCGAUUGAAUGAGCCGAUGUCGGAUUAGCUAGUUGGCGGGGUAAAGGCCCACCAAGGCGACGAUCCGUAGCUGGUCUGAGAGGAUGAUCAGCCACAAUGGAACUGAGACACGGUCCAGACUCCUACGGGAAGCAGCAGUGGGGAAUAUUGGACAAUGGGCGCAAGCCUGAUCCAGCCAUACCGCGUGGGUGAAGAAGGCCUUCGGGUUGUAAAGCCCUUUUGUUGGGAAAGAAAUCCAGCUGGCUAAUACCCGGUUGGGAUGACGGUACCCAAAGAAUAAGCACCGGCUAACUUCGUGCCAGCCGCCGCCGUAA